UUGAUCUGGCUCAGAACGAACGCUAGCGGCGCGUUUCAGGCAUGCAAGUCGCACGGUAACAGGGGAGCUUGCUCCCGCUGACGAGUGGCGCACGGGUGAGUAACGCGUAGGUAAGCUACCAUAAGGAUAGGAAUAGCCCUACGAAAGUAGGAUUAAUACCUAAUAUGCUGUAGUAUACAUAAGUAUGUUAUAGUAAAGGCUUCGGUCGUCUUAUGAUGUGCCUGCGUUAGAUUAGUUAGUUGGUAAGGUAACGGCUUACCAAGGCGACGAUCUAUAGCCGAGCUGAGAGGCUAAUCGGCCACAUUGGAACUGAAACACGGUCCAGACUCCUACGGGAGGCAGCAGCUAAGAAUCUUCCGCAAUAGUCGAGAGACUGACGGAGCGACGCCGCGUGAACGAUGAAGGCCUUAUAGGUUGUAAAGUUCUUUUAUAGGUGACGAAUAUUUGAUGUAGGUCAAGUUGACGGUAGCCUAUGAAUAAGGUCCGGCUAACUACGUGCCAGCAGCCGCGGUAAUACGUAGGGACCAAGCGUUGUUCGGAAUUAUUGGGCGUAAAGGGUACGUAGGCUGCCCGGUAAGUCAGAUGUGAAACCCUUGGGCUCAACCUGAGGCUUGCGUUUGAUACUGCUGGGCUAGAGUUACUGAGAGGAAGGCGGAGUUCCUGGUGUAGGGGUGAAAUCUAUAGAUAUCAGGAAGAACAUCUGUUGCGAAGGCGGCCUUCUGGCAGUUAACUGACGCUCAUGUACGAAAGUUAGGGUAGCAAACAGGAUUAGAGACCCUGGUAGUCCUAGCUGUAAACGUUGUAUACUAGGUGGUCGGAGUAUUGAUCCUCUGACUGCCGCAGCUAACGCAUUAGGUAUACCGCCUGGGGAGUAUGCCGUGCAACGGUGAAACUCAAAGGAAUUGACGGGGGCCCGAACAAGCAGUGGAGCAUGUAGGUUAAUUCGAUGAUACGCGAG
Molecule: ribosomal RNA, 958 nt
Filed under: uncultured organism
Description: bacterial SSU rRNA
Rfam family: Bacterial small subunit ribosomal RNA
Source: RNAcentral